UGAGCAAUCUGCCCUUCUCUUCGGAAUAAGCGUUGGAAACGACGUCUAAUGCCGAAUACGACCUCCUUUCGCAUGAUCGGAGGUGGAAAGCUCCGGCGGAGAAGGAUGAGCUCGCGGCCUAUCAGCUAGUUGGUGUGGGUAAUGGCCCACCAAGGCGACGACGGGUAGCCGGCCUGAGAGGGUGACCGGCCACACUGGGACUGAGACACGGCCCAGACUCCUACGGGAG
Molecule: ribosomal RNA, 229 nt
Filed under: uncultured bacterium
Lineage: Bacteria
Description: partial 16S ribosomal RNA
Rfam family: Bacterial small subunit ribosomal RNA
Source: RNAcentral